Molecule: ribosomal RNA, 503 nt
Filed under: uncultured Candidatus Nitrosopumilus sp.
Lineage: Archaea; Thermoproteati; Nitrososphaerota; Nitrososphaeria; Nitrosopumilales; Nitrosopumilaceae
Description: bacterial SSU rRNA
Rfam family: Archaeal small subunit ribosomal RNA
Source: RNAcentral
GCGAAAGCACGACAAGGUUAAUCCGAGUGAUUUGUGCUAAACGAAUCUUUUGUUAGUCCUAGAAACACUAACGAAUAAGGGGUGGGCAAGUUCUGGUGUCAGCCGCCGCGGUAAAACCAGCACCUCAAGUGGUCAGGAUGAUUAUUGGGCCUAAAGCAUCCGUAGCCGGCUCUGUAAGUUUUCGGUUAAAUCUGUACGCUUAACGUACAGGCUGCCGGGAAUACUGCAGAGCUAGGGAGUGGGAGAGGUAGACGGUACUCGGUAGGAAGUGGUAAAAUGCUUUGAUCUAUCGAUGACCACCUGUGGCGAAGGCGGUCUACCAGAACACGUCCGACGGUGAGGGAUGAAAGCUGGGGGAGCAAACCGGAUUAGAUACCCGGGUAGUCCCAGCUGUAAACUAUGCAAACUCAGUGAUGCAUUGGCUUGUGGCCAAUGCAGUGCUGCAGGGAAGCCGUUAAGUUUGCCGCCUGGGAAGUACGUACGCAAGUAUGAAACUUAAAGGA